This 800-nucleotide ribosomal RNA is filed under the name Lactobacillus casei group sp. RNAcentral describes it as "bacterial SSU rRNA". It matches the Rfam family "Bacterial small subunit ribosomal RNA", at positions 21 to 785 of the family's 1533-position model. Lineage: Bacteria; Bacillati; Bacillota; Bacilli; Lactobacillales; Lactobacillaceae. The record is from RNAcentral.
UGCUCAGGAUGAACGCUGGCGGCGUGCCUAAUACAUGCAAGUCGAACGAGUUCUCGUUGAUGAUCGGUGCUUGCACCGAGAUUCAACAUGGAACGAGUGGCGGACGGGUGAGUAACACGUGGGUAACCUGCCCUUAAGUGGGGGAUAACAUUUGGAAACAGAUGCUAAUACCGCAUAGAUCCAAGAACCGCAUGGUUCUUGGCUGAAAGAUGGCGUAAGCUAUCGCUUUUGGAUGGACCCGCGGCGUAUUAGCUAGUUGGUGAGGUAAUGGCUCACCAAGGCGAUGAUACGUAGCCGAACUGAGAGGUUGAUCGGCCACAUUGGGACUGAGACACGGCCCAAACUCCUACGGGAGGCAGCAGUAGGGAAUCUUCCACAAUGGACGCAAGUCUGAUGGAGCAACGCCGCGUGAGUGAAGAAGGCUUUCGGGUCGUAAAACUCUGUUGUUGGAGAAGAAUGGUCGGCAGAGUAACUGUUGUCGGCGUGACGGUAUCCAACCAGAAAGCCACGGCUAACUACGUGCCAGCAGCCGCGGUAAUACGUAGGUGGCAAGCGUUAUCCGGAUUUAUUGGGCGUAAAGCGAGCGCAGGCGGUUUUUUAAGUCUGAUGUGAAAGCCCUCGGCUUAACCGAGGAAGCGCAUCGGAAACUGGGAAACUUGAGUGCAGAAGAGGACAGUGGAACUCCAUGUGUAGCGGUGAAAUGCGUAGAUAUAUGGAAGAACACCAGUGGCGAAGGCGGCUGUCUGGUCUGUAACUGACGCUGAGGCUCGAAAGCAUGGGUAGCGAACAGGAUUAGAUAC